AUAAAUGGUUAAUGGUGAUGAAUUAUUCUUAUUAUCUUGUGAAAAUGUGUUGAGAUUAUUUCAUAUAAUGCCAUUGCUGUUCCAGUUGAGGAGAAAAUGUUUUUCUAUGGAAUAUGCCAAUACAAUUUUUGUUGACUGUGUCAAAUAUGUUCCAAAUAUAUAAUGGUCAAAAUAUGUAUAGAGGAUAUAUUAAUGGUGAUCCCAUGGCAUGUUUGUUGGCUUCUGCUCAACAGCUUCACAUUGAUACUACAUUUAAAAGCAGAUCGGCACAAUCAACAAAUGAUCAGUUAUUGAUAGUUAUGGCAAAGUACAUGGACCAGGCAUUCCAGUGGCAUAUGUAUUGAUGUGGAGAAAGACUGAAGCAGCAUAUCAAUCAGUAUUUUAGUUUAUAAGUGAAAUGUAUGAUGUUAGAGCAACAAACAUUGUCACAGACUAUGAAACAGCAUUGACAAAUGCUCUCGGUCGCGUAUUUAAUACUGUUCUCCUGCAGAAAUUUUGGUUCCACAUGGUGCAAGCAUUAGAGAAAAAUGAAAAAGAAUUUGGCAUACGGAGACAAGUGUAUACUGUAUAGAGAUGAGUAGAUGACACUUUCUUACACACAAUGCUCUGUAUGUCACAAGCCAUAGCAUUGUUGCUAUUCAAUAUAAUACCAGAAGGUUAGGAAAUAGUUAAAAGAAAAGCCAGUCACUCUCCAAAUCAAGAUGUUGCUAGACGUUAUGUAAGAUACUUCGAAACACAUUGGAUUGAGCGUGUUGGUGUUGCUAACUCCAAUGUGUUCAAUAGUCCUAGAAGAACAAAUAAUGAUUAAGAUGUCUUCCACAGACUUUUAAACUUCUACAUGGGUGGAAAUCAUCUCAGUAUUUGGCUUUUUACGAAUAUACAAUUAUAUUAUGUUACUUAUUAUAAUGAUUCAAUUCAAUUUCCUGAAAUAUUACUAAAACUGGACGAACAUUAUAGUAAAAAAUACCAUAUUCAACAAGAUCGGCCUAUACUGAGACCAAGGCAUAGACAAUAAUAUGUGCAGCUUGACCAAAAUCUAUCGUCAACCAUAGAAAGAUUACAGCAAGGAUGAAUCUUUGUUGAAGAAUUCCUUACCUAUACUGGAUAUUUGGCAUAUGAUUCCAGAACUCAGACGGUCAAACAAUACAGCAUAUGAAAUUCCUCACAAUACAGCAAUUAUUGCCGAUGAUGAAGAUUGUAAGAAAACAAAAACAUAUUCUCAGACUAUAAUUACUUCACCAAAAAACGAUGUUCCUCUAAUGACUACUACUGAUGCUUCAAGGGUUUACAUCAAAUAUUAAAACAUAAUUGACAAUGAAAUUGAUACACCAUUGUCAACUUGGUUGGCCCAUGCAAAAUGUAUCAAAGCUAUCGUUGUUAAUUGGAGUGAAAGAUAUUGGUGAUAGUAUACGACGUAUAAUGUUGAAAAUGUUUUCUGAUGAACUUAUAAUAAACUAUUCACUCUUGGGAUUUAAAAAAAAAAAAAUUUUCAUUACUCGGAAGUUAUCAAUUAAUCAUUGAUGCUUUAAGGGUUCAUAUCAAAUAUAAAAACAUAAUUGACACGGAAAUUGAUACACCAUUGUCCACUUGGUUGGCCCUUGCAAAAUGUAGGCUACUAAACAAAACUAAUACUGUG
This is a long non-coding RNA of Metopolophium dirhodum (rose-grain aphid), 1636 nucleotides long. RefSeq lists it as uncharacterized. Lineage: Eukaryota; Metazoa; Arthropoda; Insecta; Hemiptera; Aphididae. The record is from RefSeq and is a predicted model, not a curated record. The transcript is spliced from 11 exons.